This is a long non-coding RNA of Drosophila ananassae, 1216 nucleotides long. RefSeq lists it as uncharacterized. NCBI's taxonomy places the organism in Eukaryota, Metazoa, Arthropoda, Insecta, Diptera, Drosophilidae. The record is from RefSeq and is a predicted model, not a curated record. The transcript has 3 exons.
AUAUGACAUGGCUACAUGACAUUAUCCGAUUUCGAUCCGCAUUUGUUUAUCUUAAUGCAUCGAUGCGGCCCGGGUCGCAGUCGCAGUCGCAGGCCGAGGCAGUUUGCUGAUCGCUAUGGAUGACUUGGCGAUGGACACUUGACACGGAAUCUAUGCCAGAACGUAUUAAAUUGAACCAUACAGAUCGUAUCUGGAGAACAGAACCCCAUCGAUCUAUAAGUUUAUUUAAAUGAGCAGAUCUCAGGGGAGAUAUUCUUAGCAGAGUGGUUUCUGCAUCAAUCUCAAUAUUAAAAAUAUUUGUAAAGUUUCGGGUAAUUAAGAUUCAAGUGUGAUCUGUCUUGGCCAAUAAUUUUGGAAAAACAAUUUCUCUUAAGCACGUCAAGUAUUUUAAUCCCCUGCUUCCAGUAACCUUUCCCCCAAACUAUUCGACGAUAAAAGUCAAAGUUCCUUCGGCCGAAAUGCAGAUCCGUAUCGCGGAUCCAUUACCAUCUCUAAUCUGAAUCUGAGACUUAAUUAGCCGCUGGGGUUCAUUGAGGAAUUAGCCGGAUGCACAUGGCCAUGGACCAGGUCGGGUGGCUGGCUUGGCUUGGCUUGGAUCGACUCGGCUUGGUGGGCGUGUGUAGGCCAUGUGUGUGAGCCAAGUUGGCCAGCGUCGAUGUUUAUUGCCGCGGCCGGUACAGAUUUGGUUAACAGUUAACAAGCUUAUCGCUCGAUACGGUAAACAAAGGUGACGCGGCGGUUGCGCAGCUGUUCCUCCUUAUAACUUCUUAUAAGCCACUCUGGACUGAACUGGACUGGAUAUAUCCCAGGCAGAUAAUUAAGGCAAGACGCUCGCCAGCUGCACUGGGGCCACCAUAGCCGGACCAAUUUGGGCCAAAAAGGAAUCACAGUGUGGCUGGCAGUCGGCUUUUAGAGGCUUUUGUUGUUUGGUGCCCCUGCCGGCGGUGCUCGGGCCUUGUUAACCGCCGAAAAUAGAUAAUGAUCUGAGUUGGGGGCGGUCAAUUUAAUGGUUAACUAUUAAUAACGUGAUACGAAAUUGGCGUUAAUUUGUAGAAACAUUCCCCGCCGCAUGCACGGACUAAUUCGACCAGAUCCGAGCCAAAAGUGUAGCGGGCCAGCGGCCAGGACCGGGCCAAAAAAGGAUGUGAAUGGUGCCUACAUAGGUGGGUGGGUGGUUGGCUUCACUUUUCGGCUUUCGGCUUUUCGGCGGUUUUUG